AAAGACAGCACUUUGAUCUCAUAGGGAUAUUGUUCAUUCUCUGCUCAGACUUUCAUUUGACCCUACAAGGCCCUUUACAUUUUUAUGUAGUGUUCUAUUUGAAUAUAUUUGUUCAGAAAAAUGGCAGAACCUAAGCCUUUGACACAUCAAAGUGCUACGGCACCAGGUCUGGACUUUAAUGGCACCCAUCGUCAACUCUUGGGCCCCAGAAUUCUAUCAGCACAUUUACUGGAACCAUCCCAUGAGCAUACCACAGAAUCCACACUUUUUGCUUGAGUCUCAUGUUACAUAGAACCCCC
Molecule: long non-coding RNA, 299 nt
Filed under: Homo sapiens (human)
Lineage: Eukaryota; Metazoa; Chordata; Mammalia; Primates; Hominidae
Description: HSALNT0272450
Source: RNAcentral